AUUGAACGCUGGCGGCAGGCCUAACACAUGCAAGUCGAGCGGAUGAAGGGAGCUUGCUCCUGGAUUCAGCGGCGGACGGGUGAGUAAUGCCUAGGAAUCUGCCUGGUAGUGGGGGAUAACGUCCGGAAACGGGCGCUAAUACUGCAUACGUCCUGAGGGUGAAAGUGGGGGAGCUUCGGACCUCACGCUAUCAGAUGAGCCUAGGUCGGAUUAGCUAGUUGGUGGGGUAAAGGCCUACCAAGGCGACGAUCCGUAACUGGUCUGAGUGGAUGAUCAGUCACAUUGGAACUGGGACGCGGUCCAGACUACUACGGGAGGCAGCAGAGGGGAAUAGUAGACAGUGGGCGAGAGCCUUAUACAGCGGUGCCGCGUGUGUGAAGAAGGUCUUCGGAUUGUAAAGCACUUUAAGGUAGGAGGAAGGGCAGUAAGUUAAUACCUUGCUGUUUUGACGUUACCAACAGAAUAAGCACCGGCUAACUUCGUG
Molecule: ribosomal RNA, 484 nt
Filed under: uncultured bacterium
Lineage: Bacteria
Description: partial 16S ribosomal RNA
Rfam family: Bacterial small subunit ribosomal RNA
Source: RNAcentral